RNAcentral lists this small RNA (192 nucleotides) under Arabidopsis thaliana (thale cress). Its description in RNAcentral is "ATSL080580". Lineage: Eukaryota; Viridiplantae; Streptophyta; Magnoliopsida; Brassicales; Brassicaceae. The record is from RNAcentral.
AUUAUCGAUAAAUAUUUGAAUAAAUUUAUAUCUAACACUCGCCUAUUUAGGCGAGAUUUAUCUAGUUUCAUUAUAAAGUAUGGUUUUCAAAGUUAGUAACUCAUGAGAUCAUGCAAUGUGUCAAAUCUAACAAUCUCAGAUUUUACCAUGUGCCAAAUAACAUUUUCCUUUUAUUUAGCAAAACAUUUUAAA